ACACCUGUUCCCAUCCCGAACACAGAAGUUAAGCUCCACAGAGCCGAUGGUACUUGGACCGCAGGGUCCUGGGAGAGUAGGACGUCGCUAGGC
Molecule: ribosomal RNA, 93 nt
Filed under: Tumebacillus sp. BK434
Lineage: Bacteria; Bacillati; Bacillota; Bacilli; Caryophanales; Alicyclobacillaceae
Source: RNAcentral